GUCCCUCGGUGCGGGCGGCGGAGGCUGAGGCUGACAGCCCGCAGUGGCGGGGAGACCGACGCCCCCCGCCGCCGGGGCCGCCAUGAACUCGGGCCGGAGGAAGGGCUUUAUCCGGCAGGAAGUGAACAAGACGGCCUGGGACCUGCCCAUGGUCUACGGGCCCCUGACCCCCGUGGGCAGCGGCGCCUACGGCUCCGUGUGCUCAGCUAUCAAUUCGAAGACCGGGGAGAAGGUGGCUAUCAAGAAACUGAGCCGACCAUUCCAGUCCGAGAUCUUCGCCAAGAGGGCCUAUCGGGAGCUGCUGCUGCUGAAGCACAUGCAGCAUGAGAAUGUGAUUGGGCUGCUGGAUGUCUUCACCUCGGCCACUUCGCUACACAACUUUCAGGAUUUCUACCUGGUGAUGCCCUUCAUGCAGACUGACCUGCAGAAGAUCAUGGGGAUGGAGUUCAGUGAGGACAAGAUCCAGUACCUUGUCUACCAGAUGCUGAAAGGGCUUAAGUACAUCCACUCGGCUGGGGUCAUUCACAGGGACCUGAAGCCGGGAAACUUGGCUGUGAAUGAGGACUGUGAACUCAAGAUCCUGGAUUUUGGGCUGGCCCGGCACGCAGACUCUGAGAUGACGGGCUACGUGGUGACCCGCUGGUACCGGGCUCCAGAGGUGAUCCUCAGCUGGAUGCACUACAACAAGACAGUGGACAUCUGGUCCGUCGGCUGCAUCAUGGCCGAGAUGAUAACGGGGAAAACGCUAUUUAAGGGAAAAGACUCCAGACCUGGACCAGCUGACCCAGAUCCUAAAAGUGACUGGGGUUCCGGGAGCCGAGUUUGUGCAGAAGCUGCAGGACAAAGCGGCCAAAUCCUACAUCCAGGCCCUGCCUCGGAGUCCCAAGAAGGAUUUCUCGCAGCUCUUCCCCCAGGCCAGUCCCCAAGCGGCCGACCUUCUGGAGAAGAUGCUGGAGCUGGAUGUGGAGAAGCGGCUGACCGCCACCCAGGCUCUGGCCCACCCUUUCUUUGACCAGUUCCGGGAUCCGGAGGAGGAGACAGAGGCCCAGCACCCAUUUGAUGACUCCCUGGAGCACGAAAAGCUCACAGUGGAGGAGUGGAAGAGUCACAUCUACAAGGAGAUCACAAGCUUCAGCCCCAUUGUCCGGAACGACUCCAAGAGGCGGAGCGGCAUGAAACUAGCGACCAGCCCAGCCAGUUCUGGGACUUGACUGACUGCUGAGGGGACCGUGAGGAGGCCACAGAUCACAGACGGGAUCUAGGCACUGAUUGCUAUCGGUGUCUGCUAAAGUGACCCUUGGGCAUAAAGAGCAAGGCACCGGUGGAGGGGAACUGGGUUCCUUUCUUGAGGAGGGGACAGCUUUGGAGCGAGGAGGUGCUCUGCAAGACUCGAUGCCGUUAUCUCUGUUGGACAGUGAAAUGGCUUCUCAUUAAAGACCCCAAAAUCCCCCA
Molecule: RNA transcript, 1452 nt
Organism: Ornithorhynchus anatinus (platypus)
Lineage: Eukaryota; Metazoa; Chordata; Mammalia; Monotremata; Ornithorhynchidae
Gene: MAPK13
Gene name: mitogen-activated protein kinase 13
Exons: 12
Source: RefSeq, a predicted model, not a curated record